RNAcentral lists this ribosomal RNA (633 nucleotides) under unidentified archaeon. Its description in RNAcentral is "bacterial SSU rRNA". It matches the Rfam family "Archaeal small subunit ribosomal RNA", at positions 424 to 1053 of the family's 1478-position model. The record is from RNAcentral.
GCAUUUUCACAGCAAGGGCCCGGGCAAGACCGGUGCCAGCCGCCCGCGGUAACACCGGCGGCUCGAGUGGUAACCGUUAUUAUUGGGUCUAAAAGGGUCUGUAGCCGGCCGGAUAAGUCUCUUGAGAAAUCUGGCAGCUUAACUGUCAGGCUUUCAGGAGAUACUGUCUGGCUCGAGGCCGGGAGAGGUGAGAGGUACUUCAGGGGUAGGGGUGAAAUCUUGUAAUCCUUGAAGGACCACCAGUGGCGAAGGCGUCUCACCAGAACGGACCUGACGGCAAGGGACGAAAGCUAGGGGCACGAACCGGAUUAGAUACCCGGGUAGUCCUAGCCGUAAACGAUACUCGCUAGGUGUCGGCCACGGUGCGACCGUUGUCGGUGCCGUAGGGAAGCCGUGAAGCGAGCCACCUGGGAAGUACGGCCGCAAGGCUGAAACUUAAAGGAAUUGGCGGGGGAGCACCACAACGGGUGGAGCUUGCGGUUUAAUUGGAUUCAACGCCGGAAAUCUUACCGGGACCGACAGCAAUAUGAAGGCCAGGCUGAAGACUUUGCCGGAUUAGCUGAGAGGUGGUGCAUGGCCGUCGUCAGUUCGUACUGUGAAGCAUCCUGUUAAGUCAGGCAACGAGCGAGACCC